This 1021-nucleotide long non-coding RNA is filed under the name Gossypium barbadense (sea-island cotton). Its description in RNAcentral is "long non-coding RNA (GBAR_LNC011585)". Lineage: Eukaryota; Viridiplantae; Streptophyta; Magnoliopsida; Malvales; Malvaceae. The record is from RNAcentral.
AUGGAGAGGUUCUUGCGUGAGCCUAUCAACUUUGGUUCCCUCUGAAGGAUAUUAUAACCGCCAAGUGACCAUUUCAGUUUCCUUGUGCACCAAUUGGGUUAUUCCGAGAACUGCAAAGAAUAAUUAAUGGUCUUUUUGUUUUGCCUCUGUUUUCUUCUACUCUUGACAUUAUAUGAUGGAAUGCAUCCAUUCACAAUAAAAGAAACUUUCUCGGCAUUUAUUAUUUUUUAUCUGGGAAAAUUACUAAAAUACCGUUUGUAUGGCCUUUUGUGUAUGGUUGCUUUGACCUUAUAUGAUGGAAUGCAUCCAUUCACAAUAAAAGAAACUUUCUCGGCAUUUAUUAUUUUUUAUCAUAAAUGGCCCAGGUAUUUAAAAGUUACACUUUGACUCACUUGGACAGAUUAAUGCAGAUAUAUAAUGUCUCUUUGCAUUACCUAUUAUGUAUUAUGCUUCUAUCCUGUUUCCUGUUUUGUUUAGGUUUUUUCAAGUGUUCAUCCCACCAUACAACCCAAUGCCGAAUGUGUUUCAAUGCUCUCUUUACUUCUCUAGCUCUCCUUGCUUCUCCAUGUUCCUCACGUGAUGUAUGUGCGUGCUGCUUAGCUUUGUUCACCACGGUUGCUAGAUGCCGCCAAUGCGUGAGAACUCGUUUAUUUGAGCAGAUAAAGGUGAUUUUGUGACCAAACGAUAGAGCUUAUUCGAUGCAGGGAUGUGCUUCGCUAUGAUGGGUUGAGUAGGAAGUUUCUUGAUUAUUUCAUAUAUAUAUUUAUAUAUAUAUGCGCGCUUGCGUGUAUAUACCAAUAACAAUGUGUAACAGAGGCGAUUUUUUGUUGUCUAACAAAGUAAUUUGUUGCUUGGAACAGUCUUACAAAGCUGAAAGCAUAUUUUUCCUAAAUGGGUGUUUUUUUUAAGGUACUUGACAAAAAAUAUUUUCUGUUAGUGCCAAUGAACAAUAGUGUGUCGUUGAUGCCCACUUAGCCAGUCUUUUAAUUUCUGGAUCCAAUAGAUGUGUGCUUUGUUCAAA